GCUGGGUGUGGUGGCGCAUGCCUGUAAUCCCAGCUACUCAGGAGGCUGAGGUGGGAGAAUUGCUUGAAUCUGGGAGGCAGAGGCUGCAGUGAGCUGAGAUUGCGCCACUGCACUCCAGCCUGGGUGACAGAGCGAGACUCCAUCUCUA
This is an unclassified non-coding RNA of Macaca fascicularis (crab-eating macaque), 148 nucleotides long. It matches the Rfam family "Metazoan signal recognition particle RNA". From Rfam's summary of the family: The signal recognition particle (SRP) is a universally conserved ribonucleoprotein. It is involved in the co-translational targeting of proteins to membranes. The record is from Ensembl. Lineage: Eukaryota; Metazoa; Chordata; Mammalia; Primates; Cercopithecidae.